RNAcentral lists this ribosomal RNA (460 nucleotides) under uncultured bacterium. Its description in RNAcentral is "partial 16S ribosomal RNA". It matches the Rfam family "Bacterial small subunit ribosomal RNA", at positions 338 to 795 of the family's 1533-position model. The record is from RNAcentral.
CCUACGGGAGGCUGCAGUGAGGAAUAUUGGUCAAUGGACGAGAGUCUGAACCAGCCAAGUAGCGUGAAGGAUGACUGCCCUAUGGGUUGUAAACUUCUUUUAUAUGGGAAUAAAAUGUUCCACGUGUGGGAUUUUGUAUGUACCAUAUGAAUAAGGAUCGGCUAACUCCGUGCCAGCAGCCGCGGUAAUACGGAGGAUCCGAGCGUUAUCCGGAUUUAUUGGGUUUAAAGGGAGCGUAGGUGGAUGGUUAAGUCAGUUGUGAAAGUUUGCGGCUCACCCGUAAAAUUGCAGUUGAAACUGGCAGUCUUGAGUACAGUAGAGGUGGGCGGAAUUCGUGGUGUAGCGGUGAAAUGCUUAGAUAUCACGAAGAACUCCGAUUGCGAAGGCAGUUCACUGGACUGCAACUGACACUGAGGCUCGAAAGUGUGGGUAUCAAACAGGAUUAGAUACCCCUGUAGUC